AUAAUACUCCAUAGAUUAGAGACACUGGAAUGUUCUUUAGUCGAAAGUUCUGGCGCCUUAGGAUGGAUCUGCGGUCGAUUAGGUUGUUGUUGGGGUAACGGCCCAACAAGCCUGUAAUCGAUACGGGUUGUGGGAGCAAGAGCCCGGAGAUGGAAUCUGAGACACGAUUCCAGGCCCUACGGGGCGCAGCAGGCGCGAAAACUUUACAAUGCAGGAAACUGUGAUAAGGGAACUCCGAGUGCCCGUAUACGCGGGCUGUCCAGGUGUUUAAAAAUCAUCUGAAGAAAGGGCCGGGCAAGACCGGUGCCAGCCGCCGCGGUAAUACCGGCGGCUCGAGUGGUGGCCACUAUUAUUGGGCUUAAAGCGUCCGUAGCUGGACCGAUAAGUCUCUUGGGAAAUCCGCCGGCUCAACCGGCGGGCGUCUAAGGGAUACUGUUAGUCUAGGGACCGGGAGAGGUGAGAGGUACUCCGGGGGUAGGAGUGAAAUCCUGUAAUCCCCGGGGGACCACCGAUGGCGAAGGCAUCUCACCAGAACGGCUCCGACAGUGAGGGACGAAAGCUGGGGGAGCGAACCGGAUUGGAUACCCGGUAGUCCCAGCCGUAACUAUGCGCGUUAGGUGU
Molecule: ribosomal RNA, 621 nt
Filed under: uncultured archaeon
Lineage: Archaea
Description: bacterial SSU rRNA
Rfam family: Archaeal small subunit ribosomal RNA
Source: RNAcentral